GUGCCAGCCGCCGCGGUAAUACCGGCAGCCCGAGUGAUGGCCGAUCUUAUUGGGCCUAAAGCGUCCGUAGCUGGCCGAGCAGGUCCGUCGGGAAAUCCACGCGCUCAACGCGUGGGCGUCCGGCGGAAACCACUCGGCUUGGGGCCGGAAGGCUCGAAGGGUACGUUCGGGGUAGGAGUGAAAUCCCAUAAUCCCGCACGGACCACCGAUGGCGAAAGCACUUCGAGAAAACGGAUCCGACAGUGAGGGACGAAAGCCAGGGUCUCCAACCGGAUUAGAAACCCGAGUAGUCC
This 293-nucleotide ribosomal RNA is filed under the name uncultured bacterium. Its description in RNAcentral is "partial 16S ribosomal RNA". It matches the Rfam family "Archaeal small subunit ribosomal RNA", at positions 455 to 747 of the family's 1478-position model. The record is from RNAcentral.